GCUUAACACAUGCAAGCCGAGGGGCAGCGGGGAGGAAGCUUGCUUUCUCCGCCGGCGACCGGCGCACGGGUGAGUAACACGUAUGCAACCUGCCCCUGUCAGGGGGACAACCCGCCGAAAGGCGGGCUAAACCCGCGUACAUGCCACCGGGGCAUCCCGGAGGCAGGAAAGGCUUCGGCCGGACAGGGAUGGGCAUGCGGCGCAUUAGGCAGUAGGCGGGGUAACGGCCCACCUAACCGACGAUGCGUAGGGGUUCUGAGAGGAAGGUCCCCCACACUGGUACUGAGACACGGACCAGACUCCUACGGGAGGCAGCAGUGAGGAAUAUUGGUCAAUGGUCGGGAGACUGAACCAGCCAAGCCGCGUGAGGGAUGAAGGUACAGAGUAUCGUAAACCUCUUUUGUCAGGGAACAAAGGCGGGGACGUGUCCCCGGAUGAGUGUACCAGAAGAAAAAGCAUCGGCUAACUCCGUGCCAGCAGCCGCGGUAAUACGGAGGAUGCGAGCGUUAUCCGGAUUUAUUGGGUUUAAAGGGUGCGCAGGCGGUCUGUUAAGUCAGCGGUCAAAGCCCGGGGCUCAACCCCGGCCCGCCGUUGAAACUGGCAGUCUCGAGUUGGAGAGAAGUAUGCGGAAUGCGCGGUGUAGCGGUGAAAUGCAUAGAUAUCGCGCAGAACUCCGAUUGCGAAGGCAGCAUGCCGGCUCCACACUGACGCUGAGGCACGAAAGCGUGGGUAUCGAACAGGAUUAGAUACCCUGGUAGUCCACGCAGUAAACGAUGAAUGCUGGCGGUCCGGGGGGGAUUGACCCCUGGGUGGCGAAGCGAAAGCGAUAAGCAUCCACCUGGGGAGUACGCCGGCAACGGUGAAACUCAAAGGAAUUGACGGGGGCCCGCACAAGCGGAGGAACAUGUGGUUUAAUUCGAUGAUACGCGAGGAACCUUACCCGGGCUCAAACGGGGAGUGACUCAGGCAGAGACGCCUGUUUCCCACGGGACACUCCCCGAGGUGCUGCAUGGUUGUCGUCAGCUCGUGCCGUGAGGUGUCGGCUUAAGUGCCAUAACGAGCGCAACCCCCGCGUGCAGUUGCUAACAGAUAACGCUGAGGACUCUGCACGGACUGCCGGCGCAAGCCGCGAGGAAGGCGGGGAUGACGUCAAAUCAGCACGGCCCUUACGUCCGGGGCGACACACGUGUUACAAUGGGUGGUACAGCGGGAAGCCAGGCGGCGACGCCGAGCGGAACCCGAAAUCCACUCUCAGUUCGGAUCGGAGUCUGCAACCCGACUCCGUGAAGCUGGAUUCGCUAGUAAUCGCGCAUCAGCCAUGGCGCGGUGAAUACGUUCCCGGGCCUUGUACACACCGCCCGUCAAGCCAUGGGAGCCGAGGGCGCUUGAAG
Molecule: ribosomal RNA, 1391 nt
Filed under: uncultured bacterium
Lineage: Bacteria
Description: 16S ribosomal RNA
Rfam family: Bacterial small subunit ribosomal RNA
Source: RNAcentral